Molecule: ribosomal RNA, 468 nt
Filed under: uncultured bacterium
Lineage: Bacteria
Description: partial 16S ribosomal RNA
Rfam family: Bacterial small subunit ribosomal RNA (bases 20-332)
Source: RNAcentral
GACGAACGCUGGCGGCGUGCUUAACACAUGCAAGUCGAACGGAAAGGCCCUGCUUUUGUGGGGUGCUCGAGUGGCGAACGGGUGAGUAACACGUGAGUAACCUGCCCUUGACUUUGGGAUAACUUCAGGAAACUGGGGCUAAUACCGGAUAGGAGCUCCUGCUGCAUGGUGGGGGUUGGAAAGUUUCGGCGGUUGGGGAUGGACUCGCGGCUUAUCAGCUUGUUGGUGGGGUAGUGGCUUACCAAGGCUUUGACGGGUAGCCGGCCUGAGAGGGUGACCGGCAGCAGUGGGAACGGGCACCUGCCCGGGCGCCGACUGGAGGCGGGCGUCGGGGGUAGGGAUCGAGGGGCUGUGGCUGUAUGCAGCAGCGCAGCGUGGGAGAGGGUGGGCUGAGGGGUGGAGAGGGGGUCAGCCUGUAACGGAGGGAGAGGCAGGGGAAUGGAGAAAGGAGCAGGGGGGAAGGGCGGG